RNAcentral lists this transfer RNA (82 nucleotides) under Felis catus (domestic cat). It matches the Rfam family "tRNA". Rfam says of the family: Transfer RNA (tRNA) molecules are approximately 80 nucleotides in length. Their secondary structure includes four short double-helical elements and three loops (D, anti-codon, and T loops). RNAcentral also lists the same sequence under 2 other names. The record is from Rfam by way of RNAcentral. Lineage: Eukaryota; Metazoa; Chordata; Mammalia; Carnivora; Felidae.
GCUCAGUUGGUUGAGCGUCCGACUCUUGAUUUUGGCUCAAGUCAUGAUCCCAGGGUCGUGGGAUUGAGCCCCACAUUGGGCU